Molecule: long non-coding RNA, 12437 nt
Organism: Bos taurus (domestic cattle)
Lineage: Eukaryota; Metazoa; Chordata; Mammalia; Artiodactyla; Bovidae
Source: Ensembl
UGCUCCUGCUCUCACCCCACACUCUGGUCUCCUCCUCGACAGGCAGCCUCUCCCUGGUCCUCGUCCCUCAAGAGAGCAGGCUGCCUGUCAGUGCCAUCCUGCAGUGGCAGGUGUCCCACUGUGGGAAGCCUGGGGAUGCAUGCCAUGCAAGGGAGAGGCAUGCCAUGCAAGGGAGAGGCAUCCCUGGAGGACAGGGGGCUCGGGCAGGUCUCGAGCAGGAAGGCAGAGCAGAGCUGGAGGCACCUGCAGCACUGAGGCCUGGGCACCCCAGCCACUAGUUCCAGUUCAGCCCCUGGCAAGCACCUGAAGUGAGCUGUGUGUGUGCUUUCUGUAACCUGGGUGAGGCUGGCCAGGCUGGAGUUCACUGACCUGGCCAAGAAAGGCCGAGGAGAGGCCCAGAGGACAUGUGAGCAGCAUACAGCAGAGGGCAGGAUGGAGAGGGGGUGGGGGAGCUGUGGCCCUGUCCUUCCAGACACCCCCAGGACAUGGCUGAAGCACCAGAGCUUGGAGACCUGGGGUGGCACGCCAGGGCUGGCCAGAGGCUGCGGCUGCAGCUCCAGCUGGUUGUGCAUGACCCCAAGUCUGCUCGUGGUCCUGUGCUGCCCGACCGUCCCUAGGCAGGGCAAGUGAUAGCUUUAGAGGGGAGAAACAUACACUUGCUGUGAGAGCCGGACCAGCCUCUGUGGGUGUGGGCAAGGCGUGAUGGGGUGCAGCAGAGGUUGGGGGAGAGGCAGCACCCACAGGGUCAUCAGGAGGUGUGAGGGGACAAGAAAAGGCGGGGAUCCAAUGGGAGUGGCCCAGAGUGUUGUCCAGAACACACAGACAAGGCUGAGAAGUGUGCCCCGUGGGUCAUGAGGUGGCUGCAGAGCUGUCACUCACCUGCAGAGCUGGGAAGAGAUGUGACGAGAGAGGAGAUGGACUGGCUCUCAGUGGACACAGACCUGGUGGUGGGGAGGGAGGAGCUUCCGUGUGCAGUGAUGGAGCUGGCUAGGAACACAGUAGUCUGCAGCCUGGUGGUACUCGGCUGUCUGGUGGUGAGGUUGGUGGCUGGAGAACUUGGGACGGCUGUCACCCCCAGUGUAGAAGACAGGAGGCCGUGGGUGGGGGUUUGGGUGGUGAGAGAGGUGGACUGGGCGGUGGUGGACUGAGAGGAUGGGACAGAGGAAGUGGGACUGCUGACCGUGGUCCGGGGUGUAGACAGGAUGACCGUACUAACAGUGGGGGCAGGGGACAGGGUGGGAGCUGAUGGAGGUGACAGGGAGGCCCUGAUGGGUGUGGAGGCGGCUGGGGAAGGGGGGCUGGUUGGCAGGGACGCUGUUUGUGACAUGGUCAGAGGUGCAGAGGGCGAGGGACUGUGUGGAGCUGAGCUGACGCUUGGGAUGCUGUGUGAAGUGGAGACUGCAGAAGGGGAAGGGGAAGACGAUAUCAAAGGAGAGGUGUUCGAGGACCCGUGAGGAGGAGGAGAGGAAACAGUGGGCAAGGAGGAGGGGAUUGGGACAGUGGAAGAAGAGGGGUAAUGGGGAAGAGUCGACACAGAAACAGAAGUGGUUAAAGGACUUUGGCUUGGGUUCAGAGAAGCUGGAGAAGACAAUGGAGAGCUGAAGCUAGAGCUUUGUAGUGGUGCUGUGCUGACUGAGCUCUGGGUUUGUGUGGUCCCUGUUGUGGUCUUUGUGAGUGGCAGGGUUGUGGGUGUGGUGCUCCCUAUUGUUGUUGUCAGCAGUGGGGAUAUGGAUGUGGGUGCCAUGGAUGUGACCGGGACGUGUGUCAAUGGCGUUGGGGUGCCAGUAGGCUUUGUGGUGGAGUAGGUAGCAUGGGACUCAGUUGGGGUGAUGACUUGGUGAGAGGUUGAAGUCACAGAUGUUGACACAUGGAUGGGAAGGGUCUCUGGAUGUGAUGGGGUGGAAUGGGUGGUGGUGGUCCGGAAGGAUGUUCCUGUUGGCAGAACUGUUGUGUGAGAGGUGGUGUGGACAGAAAAGGUGGCACUGGAGUGAGUGGUGAAUGGAGUGUGUGGCCCAGUGGGGGCAGCUGUUGUGUGUGUCACGGGUGUUCCAGUGCCUCUACUGGUAGAUGGAAGGGAGAUAGUACUGAGCAGUGGAGAAGUGCUUACAGGGAGGAUGGUUGAAGUAGAAUGUGAUAUUGGGGCUGUGGAGGUUGUUAUUGUGCUGACCAAGUUUUGGGCUUGAGUGGUCCCUGUUGUGGUCUUUGUCAGUGGUGGGACUGUAGGUGCAGUGGUCUUUGUCAGUGGUGUGGCUGUGGAUGUAGUGGUCUCUGUGGUGGUCUUUGUCAGUGGUGUGGCUAUAGGUGUGGUGGACCCUAUGGUGGUCUUUGUCAGUGGUGUGGCUGUGGUGGUUUCUGUUGUGGUCUUUGUCAGUGGUGUGGCUGUGGUGGUCUCUGCGGUGGUCUUUGUCAGUGGUGUGGCUGUGGUGGUCUCUGCGGUGGUCUUUGUCAGUGGUGUGGCUGUGGUGGUCUCUGUGGUGGUCUUUGUCAGUGGUGUGGCUGUGGGUGUGGUGGUCUCUAUCAGUGGUGUGGCUGUGGGUGUGGUGGUCUCUAUCAGUGGUGUGGCUGUGGGUGUGGUGGUCUCUGUCAGUGGUGUGGCUGUGGUGGUCUCUGUGGUGGUCUUUGUCAGUGGUGUGACUGUGGGUGUGGUGGUCUCUGUCAGUGGUGUGGCUCUGGGUGUGGUGGUUUCUGCUGUGGUGGUUGUCAGUGGUGUGCCUGUGGGUGUGAUGGUCUUUGUCAGUGGUGUGGCUGUAGUGGUGUCUGUGGUGGUCUUUGUCAGUGGUGGGGCUGUGGUGGGUUCUGUGGUAGUCUUUGUCAGUGGUGUGGCUGUGGUGGUCUCUGUGGUGGUCUUUGUCAGUGGUGUGACUGUGGGUGUGGUGGUCUCUGUCAGUGGUGUAGCUCUGGGUGUGGUGGUUUCUGCUGUGGUGGUUGUCAGUGGUGUGCCUGUGGGUGUGAUGGUCUUUGUCAGUGGUGUGGCUGUAGUGGUGUCUGUGGUGGUCUUUGUCAGUGGUGGGGCUGUGGUGGGUUCUGUGGUAGUCUUUGUCAGUGGUGUGGCUGUGGGUGUAGUGGUUUCUGUGGUGGUCUCUGUCAGUGGUGUGACUGUGGGUGUAGUGGUUUUUGUGCUGGUCUCUGUCAGUGGAGUGGCUGUGGAUGUGGUAGUUUUUCUGGUUGUCUUUGUCAGUGGUGUGCCUGUGGGUGUGGUGGUCUCUGUCAGUGGUGUGGCUGUGGAUGUGGUAGUUUUUCUGGUUGUCUUUGUCAGUGGUGUGGCUGUGGGUGUGGUGGUCUCUGUCAGUGGUGUGGCUGUGGGUGUGGUAGUCUCUGUCAGUGGAGUGGCUGUGGAUGUGGUAGUUUUUCUGGUUGUCUUUGUCAGUGGUGUGGCUGUGGGUGUGGUGGUCUCUGUCAGUGGUGUGGGUGUGGGUAUGGUGGUGGUUGUCAGUGGUGUGCCUGUUGGUGUGGUGGUUUCUAUGGUGGUCUUUGUCAGUGGUAUGGGUGUGGUGGUCUCUGUUGUGGUCAUUGUCAGUGGUGUGGCUGUGGGUGUGGUGGUCUCUGUCAUUGGUGUGGCUGUGCUGGUUUCUGUGGUGGUCUCUGUCAGUGCUGUGACUGUGGGUGUAGUGGUUUCUGUGGUGGUCUCUGUCAGUGAUGUGCCUGUGGGUGUAGUGGUUUCUAUGGUGGUCUCUGUCAGUGGUGUGACUGUGGGUGUGGUGGUUUCUGUGUUGGUCUUUGUCAGUGGUGUGGGUGUGGUGGUCUCUGUUGUGGUCAUUGUCAGUGGUGUGGCUGUGGGUGUGGUGGUCUCUGUUGUGGUCUCUGUCAGUGGUGUGGCUGUGGGUGUGGUGGUCUCUGUCAGUGGUGUGACUGUGGGUGUAGUGGUUUCUGUGGUGGUCUCUGUCAGUGGUGUGACUGUGGGUGUAGUGGUUUCUGUGGUGGUCUCUGUCAGUGGUGUGACUGUGGGUGUGGUGGUCUCUGUCAGUGGUGUAGGUGUGGUGGUUUCUGUGGUGGUCUUUGUCAGUGGUGUGGGUGUGGUGGUCUCUGUUGUGGUCAUUGUCAGUGGUGUGGCUGUGGGUGUGGUGGUUUCUGUUGUGGUCUUUGUCAGUGGUGUGUCUGUGGGUGUGGUGGUCUCUGUCAGUGGUGUGGGUGUGGUGGUCUCUGUUGUGGUCUCUGUCAGUGGUGUGUCUGUGGGUGUGGUGGUCUUUGUCAGUGGUGUGGGUGUGGUGGUUUCUGUUGUGGUUGUCAGUGGUGUGGCUCUGGGUGUGGUGGUCUUUGUCAGUGGUGUGGUGGUCUCUGUUGUGGUCUUUGUCACUGGAGUGGCUGUGACUGUGGUGGUUUCUAUUGUGGUUGUCAGUGGUGUGGCUGGGGAUUUGGUGGUCUUUGUCAGUGGUGUGACUGUGGGUGUGGUGGUCUCUGUCAGUGGUGUGGGUGUGGUGGUUUCUGUUGUGGUCUUUGUCAGUGGUGUGACUGUGGUGGUUUUUGUGGUGGUCUUUGUCAGUGGUGUGGGUGUGGUGGUCUCUGUUGUGGUCUUUGUCAGUGGAGUGGCUGUGACUGUGGUGGUUUGUGUUGUAGUCUUUGUCAGUGGUAUGGCUGUGAAUGUGGUGGUCUCUGUCAGUGGUGUGGCUGUGCUGGUUUCUGUGGUGGUUUCUGUCAGUGGUGUGAUUGUGGGUGUAGUGGUUUUUGUGGUGGUCUUUGUCAGUGGUGUGUCUGUGGGUGUGGUGGUCUCUGUUGUCUUUGUCAGUGGUGUGACUGUGGGUGUGGUGGUGUCUGUCAGUGGUGUGACUGUGGGUGUAGUGGUUUUUGUGCUGGUCUCUGUCAGUGGAGUGGCUGUGGAUGUGGUAGUUUUUCUGGUUGUCUUUGUCAGUGGUGUGGCUGUGGGUGUGGUGGUCUCUGUCAGUGGUGUGGCUGUGGGUGUGGUAGUCUCUGUCAGUGGAGUGGCUGUGGAUGUGGUAGUUUCUCUGGUUGUCUUUGUCAGUGGUGUGGCUGUGGGUGUGGUGGUCUCUGUCAGUGGUGUGGGUGUGGGUAUGGUGGUGGUUGUCAGUGGUGUGCCUGUUGGUGUGGUGGUUUCUGUUGUGGUCUCUGUCAGUGGUGUGACUGUGGAUGUGGUGGUUUCUGUGGUGGUCUUUGUCAGUGGUAUGGGUGUGGUGGUCUCUGUUGUGGUCAUUGUCAGUGGUGUGGCUGUGGGUGUGGUGGUCUCUGUCAUUGGUGUGGCUGUGCUGGUUUCUGUGGUGGUCUCUGUCAGUGAUGUGACUGUGGGUGUAGUGGUUUCUGUGGUGGUCUCUGUCAGUGGUGUGACUGUGGGUGUAGUGGUUUCUGUGGUGGUCUCUGUCAGUGGUGUGCCUGUGGGUGUAGUGGUUUCUAUGGUGGUCUCUGUCAGUGAUGUGACUGUGGGUGUAGUGGUUUCUGUUGUGGUCUGUGUCAGUGUUGUGGCUGUGGGUGUGGUGGUUUCUGUUGUGGUCUUUGUCAGUGGUGUGACUGUGGUGGUUUUUGUGGUGGUCUUUGUCAGUGGUGUGGGUGUGGUGGUCUCUGUUGUGGUCUUUGUCAGUGGUGUGACUGUGGGUGUGGUGGUCUCUGUCAGUGGUGUGGCUGUGGGUGUGGUGGUCUUUGUCAGUGGUGUGGCUGUGGGUGUGGUGGUUUCUCUGGUUGUCUUGGUCCAUAGUGUGACUGUGGGUGUGGUUGUCUCUGUUGUAGUCUCUGUCAGUGAUGUCACUGUGGGUGUAGUGGUUUUUGUGGUGGUCUUUGUCAGUGGUGUGGCUGUGGGUAUGGUGGUCUUUGUCAGUGGUGUGGAUGUUGUGGUUUCUGUCAGUGGUGUUCCUGUGGGUGUGGUGGUUUCUGUGGUGGUCUUUGUCAGUGGUGUGCCUGUGGGUGUGGUGGUUUCUGUUGUGGUCUCUGUCAGUGGUGUGGCUGUGGGUGUAGUGGUUUUUGUGGUGGUCUUUGUCAGUGAUGUGACUGUGGAUGUGGUGGUUUCUGUCAGUGGUGUGCCUGUGGGUGUGGUGGUCUCUGUUAUAGUCUCUGUCAGUUGUGUGACUGUGGGUGUAGUGGUUUUUGUGGUGGUCUUUGUCAGUGGUGUGCCUGUGGGUGUGGUGGUUUCUGUUGUGGUCUCUGUCAGUGGCGUGGCUGUGGGUGUGGUGGUCUCUGUCAGUGGUGUGGCUGUGGGUGUAGUGGUUUUUGUGGUGGUCUUUGUCAGUGAUGUGACUGUGGAUGUGGUGGUUUCUGUCAGUGGUGUGGCUGUGGGUGUGGUGGUCUUUGUCAGUCGUGUUGGGGUGGGUGUGGUGGUCUCUGUUGUGGUCUUUGUCAGUGGUGUGAUUGUGGGUGUGCUGGUUUCUGUGAGUGGUGUGGCUGUGGUGGUUUCUAUCAGUGGUGUGAUUGUGGGUGUAGUGGUUUUUGUGGUGGUCUUUGUCAGUGGUGUGGGUGUGGUGGUCUCUGUUGUGGUCUUUGUCAGUGGUGUGGCUGUGGGUGUGGUGGUCUUUGUCAGUGGUGUGACUGUGGGUGUGGUGAUCUUUGUCAGUGGUGUGGAUGUUGUGGUUUCUGUCAGUGGUGUGUCUGUGGGUGUGGUGCUCUCUAUUGUAGUCUCUGUCAGUGGUGUGACUGUGGGUAUGGUGGUGGUUGUCAGUGGUGUUCCUGUGGGUGUGGUGGUUUCUGUGGUGGUCUUUGUCAGUGGUGUGCCUGUGGGUGUGGUGGUCUCUGUUGUGGUCUCUGUCAGUGAUGUCACUGUGGGUGUAGUGGUUUUUGUGGUGGUCUUUGUCAGUGAUGUGACUGUGGAUGUGGUGGUUUCUGUCAGUGGUGUGGCUGUGGGUGUGGUGGUCUUUGUCAGUGGUGUGGCUGUGGGUGUGGUGGUCUCUGUCUGUGGUGUGGGUGUGGUGGUUUCUGUCAGUGGUGUGGGUGUGGUAGUCUUUGUCAGUGGUGUGACUGUGGGUGUGGUGGUCUCUGUUGUAGUCUCUGUCAGUGAUGUCACUGUGGGUGUAGUGGUUUUUGUGGUGGUCUUUGUCAGUGGUGUGGCUGUGGGUAUGGUGGUCUUUGUUAGUGGUGUGGAUGUUGUGGUUUCUGUCAGUGGUGUUUCUGUGGGUGUGGUGGUCUCUGUUGUGGUAUUUGUCAGUGGUGUGACUGUGGGUGUGGUGGUCUUUGUCAGUGGUGUGGCUGUGGGUGUGGUGGUCUUUGUCAGUGGUGUGGAUGUUGUGGUUUCUGUCAGUGGUGUUUCUGUGGGUGUGGUGGUCUCUGUUGUGGUAUUUGUCAGUGGUGUGACUGUGGGUGUGGUGGUCUUUGUCACUGGUGUGGAUGUGGUGGUCUUUGUCAGUGGUGUGGCUGUGGGUGUGGUGGUCUUUGUCAGUGGUGUGACUGUGGAUGUGGUGGUUUCUCUGGUUGUCUUGGUCCAUAGUGUGACUGUGGGUGUGGUUGUCUCUGUUGUAGUCUCUGUCAGUGAUGUCACUGUGGGUGUAGUGGUUUUUGUGGUGGUCUUUGUCAGUGGUGUAGCUGUGGGUGUGGUGGUGUUUGUCAGUGGUGUGGAUGUGGUGGUUUCUGUCAAUGGUGUGUCUGUGGGUGUGGUGGUCUCUGUUGUGGUCUUUGUCAGUAGUGUGACUGUGGGUGUGGUGGUCUUUGUCAGUGGUGUGACUGUGGAUGUGGUGGUUUCUCUGGUUGUCUUGGUCCAUAGUGUGACUGUGGGUGUGGUUGUCUCUGUUGUAGUCUCUGUCAGUGAUGUGACUGUGGGUGUAGUGGUUUCUGUUGUGGUCUGUGUCAGUGUUGUGGCUGUGGGUGUGGUGGUUUCUGUUGUGGUCUUUGUCAGUGGUGUGACUGUGGUGGUUUUUGUGGUGGUCUUUGUCAGUGGUGUGGGUGUGGUGGUCUCUGUUGUGGUCUUUGUCAGUGGUGUGACUGUGGGUGUGGUGGUCUCUGUCAGUGGUGUGGCUGUGGGUGUGGUGGUCUUUGUCAGUGGUGUGGCUGUGGAUGUGGUGGUCUUUGUCACUGGUGUGGAUGUGGUGGUCUUUGUCAGUGGUGUGGCUGUGGGUGUGGUGGUCUUUGUCAGUGGUGUGACUGUGGAUGUGGUGGUUUCUCUGGUUGUCUUGGUCCAUAGUGUGACUGUGGGUGUGGUUGUCUCUGUUGUAGUCUCUGUCAGUGAUGUCACUGUGGGUGUAGUGGUUUUUGUGGUGGUCUUUGUCAGUGGUGUAGCUGUGGGUGUGGUGGUGUUUGUCAGUGGUGUGGAUGUGGUGGUUUCUGUCAAUGGUGUGUCUGUGGGUGUGGUGGUCUCUGUUGUGGUCUUUGUCAGUAGUGUGACUGUGGGUGUGGUGGUCUUUGUCAGUGGUGUGGCUGUGGGUGUGGUGGUCUUUGUCAGUGGUGUGGCUGUGGGUAUGGUGGUCUUUGUCAUUGUCUUUGUCAGUGGUGUGACUGUGGGUGUGGUGGUCUCUGUUGUGGUCUCUGUCAGUGGUGUGACUGUGGGUGUGGUGGUUUCUGUCAGUGGUGUGACUGUGGGUGUGGUGGUCUCUGUUAUAGUCUCUGUCAGUUGUGUGACUGUGGGUGUAGUGGUUUUUGUGGUGGUCUUUGUCAGUGAUGUGACAGUGGAUGUGGUGGUUUCUGUCAGUGGUGUGGCUGUGGUGGUCUCUGUCAGUGGUGUGGCGGUGGGUGUGGUGGUUUCUGUGGUGGUCUCUGUCAGUGGUGUGGUGGUUGGUGUGGUGGUCUCUGUAAGUGGUGUGGCUGUGGGUGUGGUGGUCUUUGUCAGUAGUGUGACUGUGGGUGUGGUGGUCAUUGUCAGCGGUGUGGCUGUGGGUGUGGUGGUCUCUGUUGUGGUUGUUGUCAGUGAUGUGACUGUGGAUGUGGUGGUCUCUGUCAGUGGUGUGGCUGUGGGUGUGGUGGUCUUUGUCAGUAGUGUGACUGUGGGUGUGGUGGUCAUUGUCAGCGGUGUGGCUGUGGGUGUGGUGGUCUCUGUUGUGGUUGUUGUCAGUGAUGUGACUGUGGAUGUGGUGGUCUCUGUCAGUAGUGUGACUGUGGGUGUGGUGGUCAUUGUCAGCAGUGUGGCUGUGGGUGUGGUGGUCUCUGUUGUGGUUGUUGUCAGUGAUGUGACUGUGGAUGUGGUGGUCUCUGUCAGUGAUGUGACUGUGGGUGUGGUGGUCUUUGUCAGUGGUGUGGCUGUGGGUGUCAUGGUCUUUGUCAGUGGUGUGGCUGUGGGUGUUGUGGUCUUUGUCAGUAGUGUGACUGUGGGUGUGGUGGUCAUUGUCAGCGGUGUGGCUGUGGGUGUGGUGGUCUCUGUUGUGGUUGUUGUCAGUGAUGUGACUGUGGAUGUGGUGGUCUCUGUCAGUAGUGUGACUGUGGGUGUGGUGGUCAUUGUCAGCAGUGUGGCUGUGGGUGUGGUGGUCUCUGUUGUGGUUGUUGUCAGUGAUGUGACUGUGGAUGUGGUGGUCUCUGUCAGUGAUGUGACUGCGGGUGUGGUGGUCUUUGUCAGUGGUGUGGCUGUGGGUGUCAUGGUCUUUGUCAGUGGUGUGGCUGUGGGUGUGGUGAUCUCUGUCAGUGGUGUGGUGGUGGUGGUUUCUGUGGUGGUAUCUCUCAGUGGUGUGGCUGUGGGUGUGGUGGUCUCUGUCAGUGGUGUGACUGUGGUGGUUUCUGUGGUCGUCUCUGUCAGUGGUGUGGCUGUGGAUGUGGUCUUUGUCAUUGGUGUGGCUGUGGAUGUGGUUUCUGUCAGUGGUGUGGCUGUGGGUGUGGUGGUUUCUGUGGUGGUCUCUGUCAGUGGUGUGGUUGUGGUGGUUUCUGUGGUGGUCUCUGUCAGUGGUGUGGCUGUGGGUGUGGUGGUCUUUGUCAUUGGUGUGGCUGUGGAUGUGGUUUCUGUCAGUGGUGUGUCUGUGGGUGUGGUGGUCUCUGUUGUGGUCUUUGUCAGUGGUAUGACUGUGGGUGUGGUGGUCUUUGUCAGUGGUGUGGCUGUGGGUGUGGUGGUCUCUGUCAGUGGUGUGGCUGUGGGUGUGGUGGUCUCUGUCAGUGGCGUGGCUGUGGGUUUGGAGGUCCCUGUGGUGGUGGUUGUCAGUGGUGUGGCUGUGGGUGUGGUGGUCCCUGUGGUGGUUGUCAGUGGUGUGACUGUAGGUGUGGUGGUGGUAGUCAGUGGUGUGGCUGUGGGUGUGAGCACUGUCUCUGUGACAGGGGUGUGUGUUGAUAGAGAAGGAGUGCCAGUUGUCUUUGUGGUGGAGAAGGUGGUGUGGGACUCGGUCAGGGUGAUAACCUGGUGAGAGGUUGGAGUCACUGAGGAGGUGGCCGAUGUUGACACGUGGACAGGAAGGGUCUCUGGAGGUGGUGGGGUUGGGUAGGGUGUGACUGUGGGUGUGGUGGUCUCUGUCAGUGGUGUGGUUGUGGUGGUUUCUGUGGUGGUCUCUCUCAGUGGCGUGGCUGUGGGUUUGGUGGUCCCUGUGGUGGUGGUUGUCAGUGGUGUGGCUGUGGGUGUGGUGGUCUUUGUCAGUUGUGUGGGUGUUGUGGUCUCUGUCAGUGGUGUGGCUGUGGAUGUGGUGGUCUCUGUCUGUGGUGUGGCUGUGGGUGUCGUGGUCUCUGUCAGUGGUGUGGCUGUGUGUGUCGUGGUCUCUGUCAGUGGUGUGGCUGUGGGUGUGGUUGUCUCUGUCAGUGGAGUGGCUGUGGGUGUGGUUGUCUCUGUCAGUGGCGUGGCUGUGGGUUUGGAGGUCCCUGUGGUGGUGGUUGUCUGUGGUGUGGCUGUGGGUGUGGUGGUCUUUGUCAGUGGUGUGGCUGUGGGUGUCGUGGUCCCUGUGGUGGUGGUUGUCAGUGGUGUGACUGUAGGUGUGGUGGUGGUUUUCAGUGGUGUGGCUCUGGGUGUGGUUGUCUCUGUCAGUGGCGUGGCUGUGGGUUUGGAGGUCCCUGUGGUGGUGGUUGUCUGUGGUGUGGCUGUGGGUGUGGUGGUCUUUGUCAGUGGUGUGGCUGUGGGUGUCGUGGUCCCUGUGGUGGUGGUUGUCAGUGGUGUGACUGUAGGUGUGGUGGUGGUUUUCAGUGGUGUGGCUCUGGGUGUGGUUGUCUCUGUCAGUGGCGUGGCUGUGGGUUUGGAGGUCCCUGUGGUGGUGGUUGUCUGUGGUGUGGCUGUGGGUGUGGUUGUCUCUGUCAGUGGAGUGGCUGUGGGUGUGGUUGUCUCUGUCAGUGGCGUGGCUGUGGGUUUGGAGGUCCCUGUGGUGGUGGUUGUCUGUGGUGUGGCUGUGGGUGUGGUGGUCUUUGUCAGUGGUGUGGCUGUGGGUGUCGUGGUCCCUGUGGUGGUGGUUGUCAGUGGUGUGACUGUAGGUGUGGUGGUGGUUUUCAGUGGUGUGGCUCUGGGUGUGGUUGUCUCUGUCAGUGGCGUGGCUGUGGGUUUGGAGGUCCCUGUGGUGGUGGUUGUCUGUGGUGUGGCUGUGGGUGUGGUGGUCUCUGUCAGUGGUGUGGCUGUGGGUGUGGUGGUCUCUGUCAGUGGCGUGGCUGUGGGUGUGGUGGUCCCUGUGGUGGUUGUCAGUGGUGUGACUGUAGGUGUGGUGGUGGUAGUCAGUGGUGUGGCUGUGGGUGUGAGCACUGUCUCUGUGACAGGGGUGUGUGUUGAUAGAGAAGGGGUGCCAGUUGUCUUUGUGGUGGAGAAGGUGGUGUGGGACUCGGUCGGGGUGAUAACCUGGUGAGAGGUUGGAGUCACUGAGGAGGUGGCCGAUGUUGACACGUGGACAGGAAGGGUCUCUGGAGGUGGUGGGGUUGGGUAGGCUGUGACUGUGGGUGUGGUGGUCUCUGUCAGUGGUGUGGCUGUGGGUGUGGCUGUGGGUGUGGUGGUUGUGGGUGGAGUUGAUGUCUGGGGUGUGGUGGGGACAGGGAGUGGAAGGGUGGUGCUGGAGUGGGUGAUGGGCAUGGCCGUGGAGGGAGGAGCCGGUGUGUUGGGGCUGGCGCUGCCCUCGGCCCCAGUGGUGGGGGCCGUUGGUCUCAGGCCCGUGUGUGCUGUGCUGGGCCCUGUGGUGCCCUCUGGCGGUCGUGGGGGCUCCGUGCGCUGUGUCUCCUGGCUGAUGGGAGUUUCGGGGGUCCAUCGAUGUGUUGAGGAUGCUGUUGAAAGCAGGGCGUCAUUUCACUCCCUCCCCCUCGUACCCUGCUUUGGGGUCGCCCACGCCUUCCACAUCAGCCUCCACACCUGUGGCUCUAGUGUGCCUGCGGGGGUGUCCAGCAGCUUUCUGGAUGACUCUGGUUCCUCUCCCAGCCCCCUGUCCCGGCAUUGUCUGUGGGCCCUUGUUGCAUCCUGAAUGUCUGCAGUGGGUUUUGGGGUCCCUCCCUAGCAGCCCUACUCUCAGGGUGGGCUCCUCUGCCCCGGCCUCAGGCAGGUGCUUCCUCUUCCCUCCUGCUCUCAGGGGAAUGGGAAGUUGGUGGCCCUGCCCCCGAGCUGGGGCCUGUGCGUGGCUCAGGGGCCUUUUGGAGCCCUUGCACCCUGAGGCCUGUGGAUCCCUCAGUGAGGGUGGCCAUGGGGGAAGGCUGCUUGGGUCUGGUGGUCU